Molecule: long non-coding RNA, 622 nt
Filed under: Monodelphis domestica (gray short-tailed opossum)
Lineage: Eukaryota; Metazoa; Chordata; Mammalia; Didelphimorphia; Didelphidae
Description: lncRNA (ENSMODG00000033130.2)
Source: RNAcentral
AUGCAAACUUUUCUGAUAUGGCAUACAAAUAAGAAUAUAUUUCUUUUGUUUCUCUUGAUUUUAGGAAGCUUCUGGAAUUCACCAGGACAAAUGAAGAAGGGCCUCAAGACAACUUUGGACUAGUAGCUGUGAUCAAAGUUAAUCUUUCCUGUAGCAAGUGGAACUUGUGCUAGUCACCAGAGUCCAAUGGCAAAAGAUAAGUCAAGGUGUGUGGCAAUAGCCCAGGAUGAACCAAAGGCCUUGGCAUCUUCUGUGUCUGACCAAACUUUUAAGUGCUCCACAGUGCCUACUUCAGCUGCCUUCAUGGAUUCUGGAAUAGAUUGUUCUCAUCUAGGAAAAUGAAGCCGCCGAGGGUUGCUAGGUGUGCUAUGCAAAGUCACUAAGUUCAGAGUGGGUACAUAGAGUUCAGCUCGAGAAGCCAGGACUGCUAAAUCAUGGCCAGAAAUUGCUGCCAGUGGGCUCUUAUGGAACAGGAAUGCUCUUUGGACCCUAGCACUUGAUGAGGACCUGCAUUAUAAUGAGCUGGUGAGUAGAAUUCCUCUUCUGCUGUUUCUGUUAUAUUACAUGAUGCUGCUAUAGAUGUUAGGAACUGGAAUGAAUGGACCCAUUUAAAGACAGGGAG